This 1815-nucleotide long non-coding RNA is filed under the name Homo sapiens (human). Its description in RNAcentral is "Pvt1 oncogene, transcript variant 50 (PVT1)". The stretch from base 34 to 211 matches the Rfam family "Pvt1 oncogene conserved region 1". The record is from RNAcentral. Lineage: Eukaryota; Metazoa; Chordata; Mammalia; Primates; Hominidae.
CCCGCGCUCCUCCGGGCAGAGCGCGUGUGGCGGCCGAGCACAUGGGCCCGCGGGCCGGGCGGGCUCGGGGCGGCCGGGACGAGGAGGGGCGACGACGAGCUGCGAGCAAAGAUGUGCCCCGGGACCCCCGGCACCUUCCAGUGGAUUUCCUUGCGGAAAGGAUGUUGGCGGUCCCUGUGACCUGUGGAGACACGGCCAGAUCUGCCCUCCAGAUUUAUUAGGAGAAAAACCUUCCCGGAAGCUGCAGAAGGACAAAUACAGAAUCCGUGUCUGGGAGAAACCUCGUGGCCUGGUCUCCAUUAUUUGAGAUGAGUUACAUCUUGGAGGCCUGAUCUUUUGGCCAGAAGGAGAUUAAAAAGAUGCCCCUCAAGAUGGCUGUGCCUGUCAGCUGCAUGGAGCUUCGUUCAAGUAUUUUCUGAGCCUGAUGGAUUUACAGUGAUCUUCAGUGGUCUGGGGAAUAACGCUGGUGGAACCAUGCACUGGAAUGACACACGCCCGGCACAUUUCAGGAUACUAAAAGUGGUUUUAAGGGAGGCUGUGGCUGAAUGCCUCAUGGAUUCUUACAGCUUGGAUGUCCAUGGGGGACGAAGGACUGCAGCUGGCUGAGAGGGUUGAGAUCUCUGUUUACUUAGAUCUCUGCCAACUUCCUUUGGGUCUCCCUAUGGAAUGUAAGACCCCGACUCUUCCUGGUGAAGCAUCUGAUGCACGUUCCAUCCGGCGCUCAGCUGGGCUUGAGCUGACCAUACUCCCUGGAGCCUUCUCCCGAGGUGCGCGGGUGACCUUGGCACAUACAGCCAUCAUGAUGGUACUUUAAGUGGAGGCUGAAUCAUCUCCCCUUUGAGCUGCUUGGCACGUGGCUCCCUUGGUGUUCCCCUUUUACUGCCAGGACACUGAGAUUUGGAGAGAAUCCUGUUACACCUGGGAUUUAGGCACUUUCAAUCUGAAAAAAUACAUAUCCUUUCAGCACUCUGGACGGACUUGAGAACUGUCCUUACGUGACCUAAAGCUGGAGUAUUUUGAGAUUGGAGAAUUAAGGCCAACAGAGAUUUUGAGAAACACAUUGAAGGAUCUGUUAACACUUGAUAUACCCAAUAAAAGCAGUGGUUGUGCCAGUGCUGAUCUGUCUUGAUGUGAAUGUGAACAAUGGGAACCUGAGCUGAGCAGUUAAUGCUAGGGUGACAGAAACUGGACCUCUCCCAAGACAUGUGACAGAGUAAUACAGCAGCCAACUUCUUCGCCAAAUUAAAGUUUUACAAGAUUUAACCUGUCAUCAAGACCUGGGAUUUUGGUGAGCCAGUCUUGGUGCUCUGUGUUCACCUGGUUCAUCUGAGGAGCUGCAUCUACCCUGCCCAUGCCAUAGAUCCUGCCCUGUUUGCUUCUCCUGUUGCUGCUAGUGGACAUGAGGACAGAAUAACGGGCUCCCAGAUUCACAAGCCCCACCAAGAGGAUCACCCCAGGAACGCUUGGAGGCUGAGGAGUUCACUGAGGCUACUGCAUCUUGAGACUCAGGAUGAAGACCCAGCUUGGGGCUGUCAAAGGUUUUUUGCAUGUCUGACACCCAUGACUCCACCUGGACCUUAUGGCUCCACCCAGAAGCAAUUCAGCCCAACAGGAGGACAGCUUCAACCCAUUACGAUUUCAUCUCUGCCCCAACCACUCAGCAGCAAGCACCUGUUACCUGUCCACCCCCACCCCUUCCCCCAAACUGCCUUUGAAAAAUCCCUAACCUAUGAGCUUUGAAUAAGAUGAGUACGAACUUCAUCGCCCACGUGGCGUGGCCGGCCUCGUGUCUAUUAAAUUCUUUUUCUACUACAA